GGAAUUAAAUUGUACGUUAUAGUCGCUUCUGUUGUUGGGUCAGUUCUUUUCCUGGUUAUUGUGAUUGUUGUUGGCGUUAUUUGCAAGAAAUAUUCGCGGUCUUCAAAGGCAAAGAUUGAUACAACAAACCUGCAAGGCGUUGAUCUUUGCAAAAUACCCAGACCCAAAAUAACUGGCAGUGAGCUAGGAUAUGGGUACAAUAAUGUAAAGCCGGACGCUCCAAAGAACAGGAGGAGGUAUGUUCAAAAUGAAAACACGUAUGGGAGCUUGACUGGCUACAGCGGCAGUGUUGCAAAUGACGGAUUUCCAAACACAGACAUGUAACAGCAGACCAUAAACCAACUAUGAAACAAACCUUCCGCCUACCGCAUCCUAGAUUUAUAUAUUGGGAAGCUCUAUAUAUUUUACAACAAUAAACAUUAACUUCCAAACCUUAUGUGUGAAUGCAAAGUGUAUAAUUGAUUUAUAUAAGAUCUGAAAAUGAUAAUAAUGUAUUUCGUGUACAAUGAAGGACAUAAUACGGACAAUAUUACAUAAUUAUAUGGAACACAUAAUUGAAUACAAUGUUUUAUUUAAAUUUAUUUUUAUCUAUGUUUAAUCAGGACUUUUAAAAAACUUUAUUUGUAUCUAUAUUUAAUCAGGAUUGUUUUCUUGUACUUUUCACCUAUGAUCGCUGGGGUUGUUUUUAUUGCAUAAUGGUGUCUACUGAUAUGUUUUUAAAUCCACUUGAUUUUUUUUUCUUAAAAACUCAUAAAAUAUGUUAACAGCCAAUAUAACAUUUCGAAGCAAGCCGUUUGGAAGAGCAAAACCUUUUUUAAUAUUGGAAACCUUCCUCAUGGAAUAUCCUAGUUAUGGGCAUAGUUUAAUUUUAAUAUUGUGUACAAAUAUAUAUCUUAUCAUAUUUUGUUUGGCUUUACUGUUCAUUUUCCGUAUAUUUUUUAAAUUAUAAAUAAACAAGUUUUUAGUGA
Molecule: long non-coding RNA, 968 nt
Organism: Dreissena polymorpha
Lineage: Eukaryota; Metazoa; Mollusca; Bivalvia; Myida; Dreissenidae
Exons: 2
Source: RefSeq, a predicted model, not a curated record